Molecule: transfer RNA, 29 nt
Filed under: Nycticorax nycticorax (black-crowned night-heron)
Lineage: Eukaryota; Metazoa; Chordata; Aves; Pelecaniformes; Ardeidae
Also listed under: 2 other names
Description: partial tRNA-Leu
Source: RNAcentral
GCUAGCGUGGCAGAGCUUGGUAAAUGCAA